GACGAACGCUGGCGGCGUGCUUAACACAUGCAAGUCGAACGGAAAGGCCCCCUUGUGGGGUACCCGAGUGGCGAACGGGUGAGUAACACGAGAGUAACCUACCCUUGACUUUGGGAUAACUUCAGGAAACUGGGGCGAAUACCGGAUAGGAGCUCCUGCUGCAUGGUGGGGGUUGGAAGGUUUCGGCGGUUGGGGUUGGACUCGCGGCUUAUCAGCUUGUUGGUGGGGUAGUGGCUCACCAAGGCGCUGACGGGUAGCCGGCCUGAGAGGGUGACCGGCCACAUUGGGACUGAGAUACGGCCCAGACUCCUACGGGAGGCAGCAGUGGGGAAUAUUGCACAAUGGGCGGAAGCCUGAUGCAGCAACGCCGCGUGCGGGAUGACGGCCUUCGGGUUGUAAACCGCUUUCGCCUGUGACGAAGCGUGAGUGACGGUAAUGGGUAAAGAAGCACCGGCUAACUACGUG
Molecule: ribosomal RNA, 465 nt
Filed under: uncultured bacterium
Lineage: Bacteria
Description: partial 16S ribosomal RNA
Rfam family: Bacterial small subunit ribosomal RNA
Source: RNAcentral